RNAcentral lists this ribosomal RNA (253 nucleotides) under uncultured bacterium. RNAcentral describes it as "partial 16S ribosomal RNA". It matches the Rfam family "Bacterial small subunit ribosomal RNA", at positions 524 to 776 of the family's 1533-position model. The record is from RNAcentral.
UACGAGGGGUGCAAGCGUUGCUCGGAAUUAUUGGGCGUAAAGGGUAGGUAGGUGGUCUCGUUUGUCUGAGGUGAAAUCCUUGAGCUUAACUCAAGAAGUGCCUUAGAAACGGCGAGACUAGGGUACUGGAGAGGGUCGUGGAAUUCCCGGUGUAGCGGUGAAAUGCGUAGAGAUCGGGAGGAACACCAGAGGCGAAAGCGGCGACCUGGACAGUGACUGACACUCAACUACGAAAGCGUGGGGAGCAAACAGG